Molecule: long non-coding RNA, 263 nt
Organism: Lagenorhynchus albirostris (white-beaked dolphin)
Lineage: Eukaryota; Metazoa; Chordata; Mammalia; Artiodactyla; Delphinidae
Exons: 3
Source: RefSeq, a predicted model, not a curated record
CGAACCCGUGUCCCCUGCAUCAGCAGGCAGACUCCCAACCGCUGCGCCACCAGGGAAGCCCUUUCAGACCCUUUUGUGAAAGCUGGACUCAACUUAUUAAAAAAAAAUAAAAAGCCCACACCCUUGAGGGAGAGCAUUCCUGGGGCUUUGGAAUUCAACACCUUUGUCCUGACUUCACCCCUACCAGUUGUGCAACCAGAGCCUUGGCCUCUGAUGACAAGAGUGCUGGCUGUCAGACAGGGUCAGAGGUCAGCCAUUACCCC